AACUAUGACCCAAACUAGCAAACAAACAAAGUCAACCACUGCAGAUGUCCUAGUGAUAUAGGCCAACAAAACCCUUCAACCAGACAACAAACCUCAAGACUACUGGUUUGGGUUUUUCCAGCCAGCACAGUGUUUCAAAGUGUACUCUUUCAUAAGGAGCUUUCGUCUUUAACAGUAUUAACGAUGUGAUUUUAUGCAGUGGGGAAAAGCUCUGAGUAAACUUAUGGUGUAAAACUUACAACAAAGUAUAUUUAACAGACUGCAGAGUCAUUUUCAAAGAAGAUUGUUUGUUGGAAAUUUUUUAAAUCUGAAGGAAAAAAAAAGCAGUGUCUCUGUUGAACUCUUAAGACUCUCUGACAUGACAAUACCUGAAGGUUUCUAAAUUCACAGCUCUUUUCCCUGCGAGCUAUUUGCUCAGCUUUCCUAAUAAUACCCUGCCUGUCUGGCGCCCCGCCAGCUCUGUCUCAGGCAAUAUGCAAGCUAAACAUUUUUUGACUGAUUUCAAUAUUUUCUUAUGAGCAACUAGACAGUAUUUUAUCUAGUGAGUAUUACUGAUUGCUAUAAUCUAAGCCCAGAGUAAGCGUCUGUAAAGGUAUAAGUGGGUGCAGUAGCUCACGCCUGUAAUCCCAGCACUUUGGGAGGCUGAAGUGGGUGGAUCUCUUGAGCCCUGGAGUUAGAGACCAGCCUGGGCAACAUAGCAAAACCCCUGCCUCAACAAAAGAAAAAAAAAUUAACUGGGCAUGGUGGCAUAUGCCUGUAUUCCCA
This 765-nucleotide long non-coding RNA is filed under the name Homo sapiens (human). Its description in RNAcentral is "non-protein coding lnc-SPRED2-19:1". The record is from RNAcentral. Lineage: Eukaryota; Metazoa; Chordata; Mammalia; Primates; Hominidae.